RNAcentral lists this ribosomal RNA (443 nucleotides) under uncultured bacterium. Its description in RNAcentral is "partial 16S ribosomal RNA". It matches the Rfam family "Bacterial small subunit ribosomal RNA", at positions 338 to 795 of the family's 1533-position model. The record is from RNAcentral.
CCUACGGGGUGCAGCAGUGGGGAAUAUUGGGCAAUGGGCGCAAACCUGACCCAGCAACGCCGCGUCAAGGAAGAAGGCUUUCGGGUUGUAAACUUCUUUUCUCAGGGACGAAGCAAGUGACGGUACCUGCGGAAUAAGCCACGGCUAACUACGUGCCAGCAGCCGCGGUAAUACGUAGGUGGCACGCGUUUUCCGGAUUUACUGGGUGUAAAGGGCGUGUAGGCGGGACUGCAAGUCAGAUGUGAAAACCACGGGCGCAACCUGUGGCCUGCAUUUGAAACUGUAGUUCUUGAGUACUGGAGAGGCAGGCGGAAUUCCUAGUGUAGCGGUGAAAUGCGUAGAUAUUAGGAGGAACACCAGUGGCGAAGGCGGUCUGCUGGACAGCAACUGACGCUGAGGCGCGAAAGCGUGGGGAGCAAACAGGAUUAGAUACCCUAGUAGUC